UAAAUAAAAAAAGGAGAGACUACUUCUCUUAAAUAAAUUAUCUCUUUUUUUUAUUAUUUAUUUAAUUAGAAAAAGGGAGAGACCACUUAUUUUGGAUAAAUGGUUUUUUUUCCUAUUCUCCCAAAAAAAAAAAAACUGAUCCACUUGCAUAGCAGCAUAGUACUACAUAGAUUGCCAACAUGUAAAAAUAUCAAAAACUAGAGCUCCCCCAUUCUCUCUCUUGUCACAAACCCUAAAAUUGAAAAAGCCCCUAAAUUUCAUCCUUCCUCUCGCCGUUUUUUUUUCUUUCCCUCUCAUUCUCUAGAUCUCUUUCCUAUUUCCAUGGAAGCUUUCAAUUUCUCUCUCUCUGAUUCAAUUCCAUCUCCUUGGUCUUAUCUUCCUAUGCUUCCAUGGAAGCUUUAAACUUUUACCUUUUUUUUUUUUUCCUAAUUUGGUGAGUCUAAGUUGAAAGAUAACGCCUAUUGCGGAGUUGGAACUUUAGAAGAGUUGGAACACUCUCAGGUUCAUUGCUUUCUCUCAUACUAUACCUCAUUGAUCCUACCGGACUUCAUACUAUAUUCCCGAAUUCCUAUUAUUUCCUUCAAUUUAAUCUCAUUUGUUUUUUCAAUUUAAUCAUCGAAAUUUAAUUGUUAGUUCUUGAUCUAACGAGGUGAUUUACGAAUAAUUGCAUCAUUAUAUCAAUUUCUUCAUUUUAAUUUUUUUUUUUUUGUUAUUUUUCGUUUAUUACUUUCCCUUUUCUUUGUUUUUAAUAUUGUAAUUUUUUUAAUUUUUGGGUUUAACUUCGAAUCUUGAGUUCGUUUGUGAGUAGUUAAGUAUUUUUGGGUUUAAUUUGGUUUUUUGGGUGGUUUGUGGUCGAAUUUGGUGGUGGUUCUUAAGGGGGAUGGUGGUUGAGGUCUGUGGGUUGAAGAAGGCUGCUUGGGCUUGAUUAGGUGGUUUCUAUUUUUUUUAAUUAUUAUUAUUAUUUUGCGAAUUGGUGGGAGUGGGAGGUUAUCGCAGGGUGGUGAUGUUGGGCUUCAUUUUUGUUUAAGUUUUUGUUUUCAUUUAAGUAUUUAAUUUAUGUGUUUGUAUAUGUAAUUGCUAAUUUAAAAGUCUGUAUAUUAUGUAUUUUUUGUUUUUUUUUUAUAAAUGUGUGCUAAUUUUGAAUCUCUUUGAAAAACUUUCAAGAUAAAAAGUGAAGAUCAAUAAUUUUACUUGUUGAAUAAUUCGAUUGGCGUGAGAUUGAUACAAAGAUAUGCUUAAAAGGCCUUGGUUGUAACAUUAAUUAGUUUUUUUUUAGUACGAGUAUGACUUUACUUUUGUAAAAUUUAGGAUAUAAUAUUGAUUGUACUCUAGUAUUAAUGAGAUUUUUUUAUUGGUUUUGUAAUAUCUUUUUACGAACUACGUGUAUUCUUUAAGUAUUAAUGAAUUGUUUUUUUUUUUGUUUAAUUGAAGCAUAUUUUUUGAGGUAAUAAUUGAAAAUGUAUAUAUUAAAAUACAAAUUUUAUUACUACCUCCGGAUCAUAUAAUGCAACUUUGAAAUUUUUUUAUAUCUCAUAAAUAAUACCCCAAAGUUGCAUAUAAUAUGAUCUGGAGGUAGUAUUUUUUUUAAAAAAAAGGAAAAAAGAGACAAACUAUUAGAAAUAGGCGGUCUCAAUUUUUGUAACACUGAAACCAUCUAUUUGAAAUAGGUGGUCGUAGUCUAUGAAAAACCGAGACCAUCUAUUUGAAAUAAGUGGUCUCAAAUUUUUAAAAAAUUGAGACCACCUAUUCUAAAUUAGUGGGUUAUCUUUUUAAAUCAAGAGACCACUUUUAUGAAAUGGUAUCUUAGGCAAAAGAGACCUGUGAGCUAAAGACCACCCCUAAGGUAGUCUCUUUGGCCAUUUUGAUACGAUCUCUUUGGCCAAUUUUGUAGUAGCGUCAAUUCACUUUCAUCUCAAAACUAAAGGAUUUUUUAUGUCCUUGUCGUGUGCAAUUACUAUGAUAUAUAAAUGGAUCAAAUUAUGGAGAUAAUGAAGUUAGUACAUUAGGGUCGUCGUUUAUUAUAGCUAGAGGUACUAACGAUUUUUGGUCUAGUAACAUAGCCCAAAACCUAAUUGGAUGGAUCCUAUAAAGUCACACAAAGGGUCUAGAUCGAGCACGAGAGGACAAGGCCCAUGAUGGGCCUCAUUCUCUAGUAUGGUCGGCCAUGCAUGUGGAGUACAUUUGAGGGUUUUGGGCUUCCUAACCCUAGUUUGAUUAUAAUGGGAUUAUAAAUAGACUAGGUGUCUAGGUUUUGCAAAAUGCUAUUAACUGAUCAGUAAGAUCAAACCCUAAUUAGAAAACACGAGAACAACCCCUCUCAAACUCUCCUUUCUCUCCUCCCUUGGCACCAGUGUGGUGGUUCGUGGUGGUGGUGGUUCAUGGUGGUAGGCUUAGUCCAUUAAAGGUGGUGAUCGUGGUUUUCCUCUAUCACGCGACCAAUCUAGUAUUGGUGGACGACUCGUUCGAAGCUCGUGGACUAAGUAGAGGAGCAACGCUUGGGGCUGUAUUCUCUCCCUGAUUUGUCAUUCAAAUUGCUAUAUGGAAUUUACGCUUCAAAGGUAGCGCAGCCACAGCGGUUACCGACCAGGUGGCAGUCCAAGGGGACGGGGAAGGAAGGGCGACGGUCCUGGUGGCUAGGGAAACAUCUGUGAAAGCGUUGCAUGCUGCUGCCGUGGCUGCCUCUGCUUCUGGUCAGUUACAGUGGCUAGCCUCGGCUAGCCAACCACUUAGGCGGGUGCAUGGAACUUGGUGGAAGAAGUGCAAGAUGUGCCACGUGUUGUGACACGUAAUCGGGACAAGCUCCUUGGUGGUCACCUGUCGGGGUUGACUAUCAUUACACUUGAAGAUCGAAAGAUUUGAAGUGGUGCAGCCGAACCAAGGAAGUUCGACCGAGCCUCCCAUGCCGUAGCAAAUCAGAUUUCAACAUUUUUGUAGUAGAGGUCGAAAUCCAAAAGUUCGACCGAACCAGGAGCAGAGAAGUUCGAUCGAACCUACUCUUGGUUCGACCGAACCUACCCAGUUGUCCGACCUAACCUACCUAGUGUUUGGCCGAACCUUUUCUCGUUUUUCAGUCAUUUUCGUACGGACUAUUUAAGUUCCUUUUGAGAACGUUUUGCAUUAAUUUUCAUUUUUGAACUUUGCUUGA
This is a long non-coding RNA of Chenopodium quinoa (quinoa), 3145 nucleotides long. RefSeq lists it as uncharacterized. NCBI's taxonomy places the organism in Eukaryota, Viridiplantae, Streptophyta, Magnoliopsida, Caryophyllales, Amaranthaceae. The record is from RefSeq and is a predicted model, not a curated record. The transcript is spliced from 2 exons.